GGGUCAGCAGGUCGGUCGUGCCACGGUAUGCACUGGCCUUGCUGAUUCCUCCCUCUUGAUGAGCCGUAAUGCCAUUAAUUUGGUGUUGCGGGGAAUCAGGACUGUUACUUUGAAAAAAUUAGAGUGUUUAAAGCAGGCAAGCGCUUGAAUACAUUAGCAUGGAAUAAUGAAAUAGGACGUUCGAUCCUAUUUUGUUGGUUUCUAGGAUGACGUA
Molecule: ribosomal RNA, 214 nt
Filed under: uncultured Glomus
Lineage: Eukaryota; Fungi; Glomeromycota; Glomeromycetes; Glomerales; Glomeraceae
Description: partial 18S rRNA
Rfam family: Eukaryotic small subunit ribosomal RNA (bases 39-214)
Source: RNAcentral